This 468-nucleotide ribosomal RNA is filed under the name uncultured bacterium. RNAcentral describes it as "partial 16S ribosomal RNA". It matches the Rfam family "Bacterial small subunit ribosomal RNA", at positions 28 to 507 of the family's 1533-position model. The record is from RNAcentral.
GACGAACGCUGGCGGCGUGCUUAACACAUGCAAGUCGAACGGAAAGGCCCUGCUUUUGUGGGGUGCUCGAGUGGCGAACGGGUGAGUAACACGUGAGUAACCUGCCCUUGACUUUGGGAUAACUUCAGGAAACUGGGGCUAAUACCGGGUAGGAGCUCCUGCUGCAUGGUGGUGGUUGGAAAGUUUCGGCGGUUGGGGAUGGUCUCGCUGCUUAUCAGCUUGUUGGGGGGGUUGUGGCUUACCAAGGCUUUGACGGGUAGCCUGCCUGAGAGGGUGACCGGCCACAUUGGGACUGAGAUACGGCGCAGACUCCUACGGGAGGCAGCAGUGGGGAAUAUUGCACAAUGGGCGGAAGCCUGAUGCAGCAACGCCGCGUGCGGGAUGACGGCUUUCGGGUUGUAAACAGAUUUCGACUGUGACGAAGCGUGAGUGACGGUAAUGGGUAAAGAAGCACCGGCUAACUACGUG